GUUCAAUUGUCAUUUAUCAGUGGAUGAAAUUGCAUUUGUAUUUUAUUCCACUUUCGUUUGUGCUGCUCGCGAUUUUUCUUUUUUCUUUGUGUUGUGAUUUUUAAGUUAUCGUAUUGUUAUCAUUUUUUAUUUCGAAAUCUGGUAGGACUGUUGCGAAAAUAGGCAAAGCAGAAUGACAACAAAUUCCAAUUUCCAACUGUAAAAUGCAUAAGUGAUGAUUAGGAAGCAAAGAAGUGACUGAAAUAAUUUGACUUUUGUUCCUAUUUGAGCAUAUUUAAUUUUGUAUCAGAAACAAUUUAUUAUGCCUAAAAGUAAAAUUAGCACACAUUUUGCUAAAGUAAAUAUUUGUCAUAAGUUAAGAGACUGUUGAAGCUGUUUCGGUGAUAGCGGAUCUGUAUUUCAAUUCCAACAAGUGCAUCGCCUACAUAACUACCCGUCUGCAAAAUAUACAAUAUUGUUGAUCUGCCUUUGUAAUCUCUACUAGCCACACCUCAACUUUCAAAAAGUAUAAUUUUAAAUUGAACAACAUGGUGGAUCGUCUAGUAAAUUCUGAAGCUAAUUCAAGGCGAAUUGCUAUGGUCGAAAGCUGCUUUGGCAGCUCUGGUGUACCUUUAGCAAUUCCAGGACGCGUGCUUGUUGGCGAAGGUGUCUUAACUAAGAUGUGUCGCAAGCGGCCAAAGUCUCGACAGUUUUUCCUUUUCAACGAUAUAUUGGUAUAUGGUAAUAUUGUAAUUGGAAAAAAAAAAUAUAAUAAACAGCACAUUAUGCCAUUGGAAGAGGUAUCAUUGGAAUCUCUCGAGGAUAAUGGACAAUAUCGUAAUGGUUGGUUGAUACGUACCACAACAAAAUCGUUUGUUGUUUACGCCGCUACAAGUACUGAAAAACAAGAAUGGAUGGCACAUAUCAACAAGUGUGUGGAAGAUUUACUACGAAAGAGCGGAAAAAAACCUGUGGAAAAUCAUGCUGCUGUUUGGGUACCAGACGCCGAAGCCACCCACUGUAUGAAUUGCAAGAAGACACAAUUUACGAUGAUAGUUCGACGUCAUCAUUGUCGCAACUGCGGAGCAGUUGUAUGCGGACCGUGCUCAUCUAAGAAAUUUUUACUGCCUCAACAAAGCUCCAAACCUGUACGUGUUUGUACCGCUUGUUAUGAACGUCUUUCUAAAGCGGUUAAAGCGGAAUCGUCCAAAACGAACCUUACAAAUGCUGGUGCAAAUUUAACAACACCAUCUUCCGCGAAUAUUGAUGGCAAUGGUAAUGGCACAGGAAAAUUGGUUGACAGUUCGGGUGAUGAUGAUUCGGAGGAAGAAGGCACUGCAGCAGCCAACGAAUUGCACGAUGAACCACGUUUCUACGGUGAUACAACAUUGUCGGCUGAUGAAUCUACGUCAUCUGCGGCGCUUAAUUCGAGUCACACACCUAGUGUUAAUAACUGAUGUGCGCAGUCUACAUUUUUAGAGGGCGGGUUAUUGGACGCAGGUGGUGACGAACGCGGGAAUAUAUACAGUCGAACUGUUACAAGAAGGAAAGGGUGUGACGAUAUGCAGCGAAAUAAAAAUAAACAAAAUUAUAAAAUUAAACAACGACAGCAAGAAGAAAAAAGUGAAGUAAAUCAACCAGAACAUCAACCAGACGAACGUGGAAAGAAGGUGUGGCAUUGCGUCUGGAAAAGAAAAGGAUUAACAAAGUUUUUUGAUCUUCAAAAGGGAGGAGGAAGAACGUAAGCGGCGUGAAGAACAACGCAUCAAGGAGUUGCGAAAGCUCACAACGUUCAAAGCACGACCAAAUCCUUUUAAAUAGACUCUUCUAAAACACCAAUAAUGCAUAGUAACAAAUAUGAUUUAAACACGCCACACAAUAGUACAUAGCAACAUAAAAUCAAUUUAAACAGCAAUAAAAUGAGAACGAUGCAUACUUAAUUAACACUUUCAACAAAAUAAUAAGAACUAUAAAUAAUAUAAAAUAACGGAGAAUAUGUAUGAGAACACCAUUUUUAUAUAUGAAAAUGAAAUAACGUAACGUUUUAUUAUCAUUAUUAAUUACUACAAUUAUUAUAUUAGCCUUUUUUCUUACUUGUAAUAAUUUUUGGGAAUACACAUAUUAUAUACACACACAUACAUAUUCAUAUGCAUAUUAAUAGCGACAUACGAUAAUUAACAAAAUGUUAUAUUAUAAAUAAGAAAUAUUUAAAUAAUUAAACACCUACAUUUUACCACAAUAAUAAAGCAAAUGUUAAAAUAAGACACACAACCCAACAUUUAUGAAACAUAUGA
Molecule: RNA transcript, 2273 nt
Organism: Bactrocera dorsalis (oriental fruit fly)
Lineage: Eukaryota; Metazoa; Arthropoda; Insecta; Diptera; Tephritidae
Gene name: targeting protein for Xklp2
Exons: 4
Source: RefSeq, a predicted model, not a curated record